This is a non-coding RNA of Chelonus insularis, 72 nucleotides long. The record is from the annotation of a RefSeq genome assembly. NCBI's taxonomy places the organism in Eukaryota, Metazoa, Arthropoda, Insecta, Hymenoptera, Braconidae.
UCCGAUAUGGUCUAAUGGCUAUGAUACCUGGCUCUCACCCAGGAGAUCCGGGUUCGAUUCCCGGUAUCGGAA